GACGAACGCUGGCGGCGCGCCUAACACAUGCAAGUCGAACGGAGUCAAGAGGAGCUUGCUUUUCUUGACUUAGUGGCGAACGGGUGAGUAACGCGUGAGUAACCUGCCCUGGAGUGGGGGACAACAGUUGGAAACGACUGCUAAUACCGCAUAAGCCCACGGAUCCGCAUGGAUCUGCGGGAAAAGGAUUUAUUCGCUUCAGGAUGGACUCGCGUCCAAUUAGCUAGUUGGUGAGGUAACGGCCCACCAAGGCGACGAUUGGUAGACGGGCUGAGAGGUUGAGCGGCCACAUUGGGGCUGAGACGCGGCCCAGAAUCCUACGGGAGGCAGCAGUGGGGGAUAUUGCACAAUGGGGGAAACCCUGAUGCCGCGACGCCGCGUGGAGGAAGAAGGUUUUCGGAUUGUAAACUCCUGUCGUUAGGGACGAUAAUGACGGUACCUAACGAGAAAGCACCGGCUAACUACGUG
Molecule: ribosomal RNA, 468 nt
Filed under: uncultured bacterium
Lineage: Bacteria
Description: partial 16S ribosomal RNA
Rfam family: Bacterial small subunit ribosomal RNA
Source: RNAcentral